CCCUUGGAAAAGGGCAUCAUAGAGGGUGAUAAUCCCGUACAUGGCUUGGAGCGCCCGAAGCUUUGUGAUACGCUUUCUAAGAGUCGAGUUGUUUGGGAAUGCAGCUCAAAAUGGGUGGUAAAUGCCAUCUAAGGCUAAAUAUUGGGGAGAGACCGAUAGCGAACAAGUACAGUGAUGGAAAGAUGAAAAGAACUUUGAAAAGAGAGUUAAACAGUACGUGAAAUUGCCAAAAGGGAAGGGUAGGAGGUCAGAGAUGCGGCCUGGGAUUCAGCCUUGCUUUUGCUUGGUGUUUUUCCCAGAUUGCAGGCCAACGUCGGUUUUGGGCACUGGAGAAGGGUAGGAGGAACGUGGCACCUCUCGGGGUGUGUUAUAGCCUCCUACUGGAUACAGCGACCG
Molecule: ribosomal RNA, 396 nt
Filed under: Moesziomyces aphidis
Lineage: Eukaryota; Fungi; Basidiomycota; Ustilaginomycetes; Ustilaginales; Ustilaginaceae
Description: partial large subunit ribosomal RNA
Rfam family: Eukaryotic large subunit ribosomal RNA
Source: RNAcentral